CCUGUCCAUAUGGUAUCGUAGGUCUAUAGUUUUUGUCUCCCUGUCCAUCUGGUAUCGUAGAUCUAUAGUUUUUGUCUCCCUGUCCAUCUGGUAUCGUAGGUCUAUAGUUUUUGUCUCCUUGUCCAUCUGGUAUCGUAGGUCUAUAGUGUUUGUCUCCCUGUCCAUCUGGUAUUGUAUGUCUAUAGUUUUUGUCUCCCUGUCCAUCUGGUAUCGUAGGUCUAUAGUUUUUGUCUCCCUGUCCAUCUGGUAUUGUAUGUCUAUAGUGUUUGGCUCCCUCUCCAUCUGGUAUCGUAGGUCUAUAGUGUUUGGCUCCCUGUCCAUCUGGUAUCGUAGGUCUAUAGUGUUUGGCUCCCUGUCCAUCUGGUAUCGUAGGUCUAUAGUUUUUGUCUCCCUGUCCAUCUGGUAUUGUAUGUCUAUAGUGUUUGGCUCCCUGUCCAUCUGGUAGUGGUUAGAUCAUUGGACUAGUCGCCGGAAGGUUGCAAGAUCAAAUCCCCGAGCUGACAAGGUAAAAAUCUGUCGUUCUGCCCUUGAACAAAGCAGUUAACCAACUGUUCCUAGGCCG
This is a long non-coding RNA of Oncorhynchus tshawytscha (Chinook salmon), 562 nucleotides long. NCBI's taxonomy places the organism in Eukaryota, Metazoa, Chordata, Actinopteri, Salmoniformes, Salmonidae. The record is from Ensembl.